UUUCCGGUUGAUCCUGCCGGACCCCACUGCUAUCGAGGUGGGACUAAGCCAUGCUAGUUGAGCGCACAGAACUAUGUCUGUGAGCGGCACACUGCUCAGUAACACGUAGCUAACCUACCCUUAGGACGUGGACAACCCCGAGAAAUUGGGGCUAAUCCGCGAUAGAUGUAAUGUCCUGGAAUGGUAUUACGUCCAAAGGUAUCCCAUACAUGUUUGGUAUACGCCUAAGGAUGGGGCUGCGGCCGAUCAGGCUGUUGGUGAGGUAAUGGCUCACCAAACCUUUGACCGGUACGGGCCAUGAGAGUGGUAGCCCGGAGAUGGACACUGAGACAAGGGUCCAGGCCCUACGGGGCGCAGCAGGCGCGAAACCCCCUCAAUGCACUUACGUGCGAAGGGGCUACCUCGAGUGCCACCUGAUGAAGGUGGCUUUUCCUAGGUCUAAAAAGCCUUGGGAAUAAGAGAGGGGCAAGACUGGUGUCAGCCGCCGCGGUAACACCAGCCCCUCGAGUGGUGGGGAUGAUUAUUGGGCCUAAAGCGUCCGUAGCCUGCCGUGUAAGUUUCCCGUUAAAUCCAGCGUCUUAAGCGUUGAACUGCGGGAAAUACUGCACGGCUAGAGAGUG
Molecule: ribosomal RNA, 620 nt
Filed under: uncultured archaeon
Lineage: Archaea
Description: bacterial SSU rRNA
Rfam family: Archaeal small subunit ribosomal RNA
Source: RNAcentral